Molecule: ribosomal RNA, 506 nt
Filed under: uncultured bacterium
Lineage: Bacteria
Description: partial 16S ribosomal RNA
Rfam family: Bacterial small subunit ribosomal RNA
Source: RNAcentral
AGUGAACGCUGGCGGUAGGCCUAACACAUGCAAGUCGAACGGCAGCACAGGAGAGCUUGCUCUCUGGGUGGCGAGUGGCGGACGGGUGAGGAAUACACCGGAAUCUACUUUUUCGUGGGGGAUAACGUAGGGAAACUUACGCUAAUACCGCAUACGACCUACGGGUGAAAGCAGGGGACCUUCGGGCCUUGCGCGAUUGAAUGAGCCGAUGUCGGAUUAGCUAGUUGGCGGGGUAAAGGCCCACCAAGGCGACGAUCCGUAGCUGGUCUGAGCGGAUGAUCAGCCACACUGGAACUGAGACACGGUCCAGACUCCUACGGGAGGCAGCAGUGGGGAAUAUUGGACAAUGGGCGCAGGCCUGAUCCAGCCAUACCGCGUGGGUGAAGAAGGCCUUCGGGUUGUAAAGCCCUUUUGUUGGGAAAGAAAUCCAGCUGGCUAAUACCCGGUUGGGAUGACGGUACCCAAAGAACAAGCACCGGCUAACUUCGUGCCAGCCGCCGCAGUAA